GAUCCUCACCGCCUCCAAGAGCUUCUCUGGCAGGCUCAGCUCCCGAGAAGCAUCUUGCCGCGCUGUAAGGGCUCCCAGCAGUGCCACGAAGGGCAGUGCCGGCUGCAACCCUCAGCCGGGGGGCAAAGUUUCGGCGAACCCGGGACCCCGCCGCUCCCAGCACCGCACCGCCACUCUCCUUCCCCGGGCACUCAGCACCGCUCCCCGGCGGAGCCGCGGGACGAGCGGGGAGAGGCCGAGUCUCAGCCGCCGCUGCCCUCGGAGCGCCCAAGCGCAGAUCCCGCUCCAUCCCCUCCGCCCCGCGCCCGCCCGCCGCCAAGCCGGGGCCGGGGCAGCGUUACCUGGAGCGCCCGGCGGCCGCCUCAUAGCCGAGGAGUGCGGGGCCGGCCCCGCCGCCNNNNNNNNNNNNNNNNNNNNNNNNNNNNNNNNNNNNNNNNCGCCGUGCCGGCUGGGGGAAGUUCGGGGCCGCCGAGCGCGCCAGCGGCACCGCCGCGCUGCGCUCCGCUCCCCCAGGCAAAGCCGGCCGCCGCCCGGGGCUGGCGCACAGCCUGGCGAAGGAUGAGGAGCGAAGGCAGCAGACUAUCCACCACGGCGGAGUGGUGUUGCUGGGGCUUUUAUCCCCUCCCGGCCCCUCCGCCGCAUCCCCCACCGCGCGACUUCCGCGGCAGCGGGACAGAGCCCUCGGUGUCCCGGGGAGGGGCUCGCCACCGCCCCGCUCCGCCUCCCGCCCCCUGCGCGGCCGCGCCCGCUCCUCACCGCUCCUCACCGCUCCUCACCGCUCCUCACCGCUCCUCACCGCUCCUUACCGCUCCUCACCGCGGUGCCCGGGCGGCGAUCUCCGGCAACUUUCCGCCGAGCGCGGGCAGAGCUCCCCCGGCCACAUCUGGGCUCGCUCCGCCGCCGCCACGCAGGGUUCGUGGGAGGGCGCAGCUUGCGAGCGCCCGGUCCCCGAUAAAUGCGUGGCAGCUCCCCUUGCGCGGGGGGAGGCGGAACCGCAGGGCUGAUAAAUUCAAAAGGCAUUGUGCUAGCUCUGGAAAACAAUUCUCCAGUUAA
Molecule: long non-coding RNA, 1053 nt
Filed under: Numida meleagris (helmeted guineafowl)
Lineage: Eukaryota; Metazoa; Chordata; Aves; Galliformes; Numididae
Description: lncRNA (ENSNMEG00000011742.1)
Source: RNAcentral